UACGAAGGGGGCUAGCGUUGUUCGGAAUUACUGGGCGUAAAGCGCACGUAGGCGGAUAUUUAAGUCAGGGGUGAAAUCCCAGAGCUCAACUCUGGAACUGCCUUUGAUACUGGGUAUCUUGAGUAUGGAAGAGGUGAGUGGAAUUCCGAGUGUAGAGGUGAAAUUCGUAGAUAUUCGGAGCAACACCAGUGGCGAAGGCGGCUCACUGGUCCAUUACUGACGCUGAGGUGCGAAAGCGUGGGGAGCAAACAGG
This 253-nucleotide ribosomal RNA is filed under the name uncultured bacterium. Its description in RNAcentral is "partial 16S ribosomal RNA". It matches the Rfam family "Bacterial small subunit ribosomal RNA", at positions 524 to 776 of the family's 1533-position model. The record is from RNAcentral.